GGAUCAUUAUCGAGUUACCGCUCCUUAUAACCCUUUGUGAACAUACCUCAAACGUUGCCUCGGCGGGCAGCCGGAGCCCAGCUCCGGCGCCCGGAGCCGCCUUCUCGGCGCGCCCCACCCGCCGGCGGACCACUAAACUCUAUUGCAACGACGUCUCUUCUGAGUGGUACAAGCAAAUAAUCAAAACUUUUAACAACGGAUCUCUUGGUUCUGGCAUCGAUGAAGAACGCAGCGAAAUGCGAUAAGUAAUGUGAAUUGCAGAAUUCAGUGAAUCAUCGAAUCUUUGAACGCACAUUGCGCCCGCCAGCAUUCUGGCGGGCAUGCCUGUUCGAGCGUCAUUUCAACCCUCAAGCACCGCUUGGCGUUGGGGCCCUACGGCUUCCGUAGGCCCCGAAAUACAGUGGCGGACCCUCCCGGAGCCUCCUUUGCGUAGUAACAUACCACCUCGCACUGGGAUCCGGAGGGACUCCUGCCGUAAAACCCCCCAAUUUAUCAAGGUUGACCUCGGAUCAGGUAGGAAUACCCGCUGAACUUAAGCAUAUCAAUAAGCGGAGGAAAAGAAACCAACAGGGAUUGCCUCAGUAACGGCGAGUGAAGCGGCAACAGCUCAAAUUUGAAAUCUGGCCCCCCGGGUCCGAGUUGUAAUUUGCAGAGGAUGCUUUUGGCGCGGUGCCUUCCGAGUUCCCUGGAACGGGACGCCAUAGAGGGUGAGAGCCCCGUACGGUUGGACAC
This 732-nucleotide ribosomal RNA is filed under the name fungal endophyte. RNAcentral's name for it is "eukaryotic LSU rRNA". The stretch from base 500 to 732 matches the Rfam family "Eukaryotic large subunit ribosomal RNA", at positions 1 to 236 of the family's 3401-position model. The record is from RNAcentral. Lineage: Eukaryota; Fungi.